This 500-nucleotide ribosomal RNA is filed under the name uncultured bacterium. RNAcentral's name for it is "partial 16S ribosomal RNA". It matches the Rfam family "Bacterial small subunit ribosomal RNA", at positions 30 to 523 of the family's 1533-position model. The record is from RNAcentral.
AUUGAACGCUGGCGGCAGGCUUAACACAUGCAAGUCGAGCGGAGAUGAGGUGCUUGCACCUUAUCUUAGCGGCGGACGGGUGAGUAUGCUUAGGAAUCUGCCUAUUAGUGGGGGACAACAUUCCGAAAGGAAUGCUAAUACCGCAUACGUCCUACGGGAGAAAGCAGGGGAUCUUCGGACCUUGCGCUAAUAGAUGAGCCUAAGUCGGAUUAGCUAGUUGGUGGGGUAAAGGCCCACCAAGGCGACGAUCUGUAGCGGGUCUGAGAGGAUGAUCCGCCACACUGGGACUGAGACACGGCCCAGACUCCUACGGGAGGCAGCAGUGGGGAAUAUUGGACAAUGGGGGGAACCCUGAUCCAGCCAUGCCGCGUGUGUGAAGAAGGCCUUAUGGUUGUAAAGCACUUUAAGCGAGGAGGAGGCUACUGAGACUAAUACUCUUGGAUAGUGGACGUUACUCGCAGAAUAAGCACCGGCUAACUCUGUGCCAGCAGCCGCAGUAA